Molecule: ribosomal RNA, 486 nt
Filed under: uncultured bacterium
Lineage: Bacteria
Description: partial 16S ribosomal RNA
Rfam family: Bacterial small subunit ribosomal RNA
Source: RNAcentral
GACGAACGCUGGCGGCGUGCUUAACACAUGCAAGUCGAACGCUGAAGCACCAGCUUGCUGGUGUGGAUGAGUGGCGAACGGGUAAGUAAUACGUGAGUAACCUGCCCUUGACUCUGGGAUAAGCCCGGGAAACUGGGUCUAAUACUGGAUGCUACUUGUCACCGCAUGGUGGUGUGUGGAAAGGGUUUACUGGUCUUGGAUGGGCUCACGGCCUAUCAGCUUGUUGGUGAGGUAAUGGCUCACCAAGGCGACGACGGGUAGCCGGCCUGAGAGGGUGACCGGCCACACUGGGACUGAGACACGGCCCAGACUCCUACGGGAGGCAGCAGUGGGGAAUAUUGCACAAUGGGCGAAAGCCUGAUGCAGCGACGCCGCGUGAGGGAUGACGGCCUUCGGGUUGUAAACCUCUUUCAGCAGGGAAGAAGCCACAAGUGACGGUACCUGCAGAAGAAGCGCCGGCUAACUACGUGCCAGCAGCAGCCGCAG